This 2067-nucleotide long non-coding RNA is filed under the name Salmo salar (Atlantic salmon). RNAcentral's name for it is "lncRNA (ENSSSAG00000098868.1, ENSSSAG00000117030.1)". Lineage: Eukaryota; Metazoa; Chordata; Actinopteri; Salmoniformes; Salmonidae. The record is from RNAcentral.
AGCAAGUUCUGGCCAAGCGCUCACCAUUCUGCAGAAUAAGGAUCAGAACUUUACUGAGGUAAACUGGGUCUGUUCUUUUUACUUUUGCAGUUCAUCGUGGCCCUGUCGUUCGCCUACUUCACCAAAGCUCUGUCAGGGACCUACAUGAAGAGUGCCAUCACUCAGAGAGACACUUUGACCUGUCCGGCUCUCUCAUCGGACUCAUAGACGGCAGCUUUGAGAUGGGUAUCAACAAUAACAAUGAGUUGCUUGAGAAUUCAUGUAGUAAAAACUAGAUACACAAUACAGUAUGAUCCGUUUUUUUUGUGGUUCAGAGUCUGCUCUCAAUACUGUCCAGUUUUAUAGUUGUUCCUAUUAAUUGAUUGACUGGCGUUUGUCCAUGACUCUACUGUCAAACCCCUAACAUUGUUUUAUGUGCUGCUAUGUUGUUGCAGCCUAGUAUCCAAACUGAUAUGCCAUUUUUUGUUUAAAAAAAAAAAAAAUGCGCAUGGGUGCAGUUUCUUGUCCUCCUCGUUCCGCUGUGAAAGUACCGCACCAGCUCCGGUUUCCGAGGCGUCCACCUCUACCACAAAGGGACGAGUAGGAUCAGGAUGAACGAGGAAUGGGUUCGGAGGUGAAACGUCCCUUGAGCUCUAUGAAUGCCCUGUCAGCCUCGGGAUUCCAGCAAAAAACAGCUUGAGUGAGGUGGGACAGGGCCUUAUGUGUUCCGGAAGGGUUUUUGGAGAAGAUCAGGAUAUCGUCGAGGUAAACAAAGACGAACCGAUUCAACAUAUCCCUAAGAGUGUCAUUGAUCAAUGCUUGAAAGACUGCCGAUUUUAAGCGUUGCGGAGGUCCAGUUUGGUGAAGAAUUGGGCUCCUAGGGCCAACUCCAAGGCGGCGGACAUCGGGUUUGUUGAACAUGAGUGGAAAUGAAACUCCAGCACACUGGUAGCACUAAAGACGUUUGAGUAUAACUUCUCCAGGUGAGUUGAAGCUGCCUGUGCGUGCGGCGGGGAUAUUCCUGGGAGGUCUACUGACGAAGAGGUAUAAGCUUGGCGUUAUGUCUGGAGCCCAGCUGUCUUUCGUCACCUCCUUCAUGGCCUACCUCCUCCUCCCUCUGCAGUCUGGCACUAAGUGUGACAACGUUAAGGUGGCUUGUCUGACCGUGUCCCACAACGGGUCCCCUGGUGUACGAUGGCAGCCUGUUGUCAGAGUGUAACAGAGACUGCUCCUGCUUGGCUGGGGAGUGGGACCCUGUGUGUUCAGACAACGGCAUCACCUACACCUCCCCCUGCCUCGCAGGCUGCUCCAGCUUUACAGUUGUGUCAAGUUGGCUGUAUGUCUUUUGAGUGGUGGACCAUUCUUGAUACACACGGGAAACUGUUCAGCAUAAAAAAACACAGCAGCGUUGCAGUUCUUGACACAAACUGGUACCCCUGGCACCUAUUACCAUGCCCCGUUGAAAGAGUGAUCUUCCUUGGACUCAUCACAUGUCUCAGUGGCUCCUCCUUAGGAGGGAGGGGGACAGCCCCCACACUCAUCACUAGAGAUCGAACUUCAGACUCCCUCCAAAACCACUGAACCCCUCAACACACCGAAAGAGAUUAAGGUGCACACCCGUAGAGGGAGCCGGAACAGGAUAACUCCCUCCAAACUCACAAAGACACAGAGGAGGAGGAACUAUCCAACACCCAGGGAGAGAGAACGAGUGACCUCAGUCGAACACAGUCAGAAAGAGGAGGUGGAAGAGGCGUUAGAUAGAGGAGGUUACCCCAGAGGCCAUUCCUCCUGUUAAUGUGACCAAGAAAGAGCAGAAGGCUUCUGAUCAGCCAAAUGGCAGGCAGAGGGAGAGGUCAUAGUGAUUCACACCCACAGAGAGAAAGACAACCCACACAACCUCUUAGUUGAGAUGAACCACACAGAGGUAGAGGCAGAGGGCCUUCAGGGCUAGCCAGUCAGCCUGCCUGCUCUGAUCCUCAAGUCAAUUGUAUUUAAAUUCAUGUUCAUUAAAGUUUUUUUAUUCAAGAAUUGAAAAGUCCCAUUUACUUAAUGAUCAUUUUUCACCAGCUUCAACCCUCAAGAAUCAGG